UUGAACGCUGGCGGCAUGCCUUACACAUGCAAGUCGAACGCGAAAGGGGGCAACCCUGAGUAGAGUGGCGAACGGGUGAGUAAUACAUCGGAACGUGUCCUAUAGUGGGGGAUAACCCAGCGAAAGUUGGGCUAAUACCGCAUACGUCCUACGGGAGAAAGCGGGGGAUCGCAAGACCUCGCGCUAGUGGAGCGGCCGAUGUCCGAUUAGCUUGUUGGUGAGGUAAAGGCUCACCAAGGCGACGAUCGGUAGCUGGUCUGAGAGGAUGAUCAGCCACACUGGGACUGAGACACGGCCCAGACUCCUACGGGAGGCAGCAGUGGGGAAUUUUGGACAAUGGGGGCAACCCUGAUCCAGCCAUGCCGCGUGAGUGAAGAAGGCCUUCGGGUUGUAAAGCUCUUUCGGUCGGGACGAAACGGCGGAUGCUAAUACCAUCCGUUACUGACGGUACCGACAGAAGAAGCACCGGCUAACUACGU
RNAcentral lists this ribosomal RNA (479 nucleotides) under uncultured bacterium. RNAcentral's name for it is "bacterial SSU rRNA". It matches the Rfam family "Bacterial small subunit ribosomal RNA", at positions 30 to 506 of the family's 1533-position model. The record is from RNAcentral.